This 682-nucleotide ribosomal RNA is filed under the name Triticum aestivum (bread wheat). Its description in RNAcentral is "partial small subunit ribosomal RNA". The record is from RNAcentral. Lineage: Eukaryota; Viridiplantae; Streptophyta; Magnoliopsida; Poales; Poaceae.
GCUGGAUCCGGUCUCGGAGCGGCCGUCGAGGGGGUUCAGCCGCGGGCGAUCGACGACCACACCUCGGCUCGAAGAGACUGCCGCUGCCGCUGCCGCUGUUCGAACAGGUCCAGCAGUACCGGCCGCUGCUGCUUGCCCUCCCGCCUCCACAAAGGUACCGGUGGAAACGGCUCUCGAGCGUGUAGAAGUUGGGAGUCGGUACAAUCAAAACCCCACCGAUAAAAAACCUAGGCGACGACGGCACGCGGCACGCAGACCUAGUCCGCGUCCAGCGGCGGUAUCCUCUCGUCCCACCGCACCAGAAACACCACCCGUACCUCGUUCCCUCCUACUCCGCGACCAUACUCCUUUCCUCGUCCUUCCAGCCUCAAGGUCCGCCACGACCGGCAGCAGUGUACAGGGGUCAGAUCUAGAUUCUUUUUUCUCUUCCCCUACUUAGACCUCCUUCUCGAACCACUUCUUGUUCCACAAGCAUUACCGUUGCCACCAUUAGUUGCUACUCUUUUUUCCUGGCUCUAACAUAAACAUGAUCGUCCACUACGGAAUUAAAUCAAGUACCGUAAUACCGCCCUACGUACACCAUUUACCAAUGUUACCACCGAGUACCUCAAUUUUAAAACACAAGACAUGUCUAAACUCUACUAUCUUUAAGUUUUAUCCAUUGGUUAUUCGGUACAAAAAC